CACGUAGGGCGCGAGCGUUGUCCGGAAUUAUUGGGCGUAAAGAGCUCGUAGGCGGCCUGUUGCGUCCGCUGUGAAAGCCCGGGGCUUAACCCCGGGUCGCAGUGGAUACGGGCAGGCUAGAGGUAGGUAGGGGAGAAUGGAAUUCCCGGUGUAGCGGUGAAAUGCGCAGAUAUCGGGAGGAACACCGGUGGCGAAGGCGGUUCUCUGGGCCUUACCUGACGCUGAGGAGCGAAAGCGUGGGGAGCGAACAGG
This 252-nucleotide ribosomal RNA is filed under the name uncultured bacterium. Its description in RNAcentral is "partial 16S ribosomal RNA". It matches the Rfam family "Bacterial small subunit ribosomal RNA", at positions 524 to 776 of the family's 1533-position model. The record is from RNAcentral.